RNAcentral lists this ribosomal RNA (460 nucleotides) under uncultured bacterium. RNAcentral's name for it is "partial 16S ribosomal RNA". It matches the Rfam family "Bacterial small subunit ribosomal RNA", at positions 338 to 795 of the family's 1533-position model. The record is from RNAcentral.
CCUACGGGUGGCAGCAGUGAGGAAUAUUGGUCAAUGGACGAGAGUCUGAACCAGCCAAGUAGCGUGAAGGAUGACGGCCCUAUGGGUUGUAAACUUCUUUUAUAAAGGAAUAAAACGAGGCACGCGUGCCUUUUUGCAUGUACUUUAUGAAUAAGGAUCGGCUAAAUCCGUGCCAGCAGCCGCGGUAAUACGGAGGAUCCGAGCGUUAUCCGGAUUUAUUGGGUUUAAAGGGUGCGUAGAUGGGUUGUUAAGUCAGUUGUGAAAGUUUGCGGCUCAACCGGAAGAUUGCAAUUGAUACUGGCAGGCUUGAGUGCGGGUGAGGUAGGCGGAAUGCGUGGUGUAGCGGUGAAAUGCAUAGAUAUCACGCAGAACUCCGAUUGCGAAGGCAGCAUGCCGGCGCCCAACUGACGCUGAGGCACGAAAGCGUGGGUAUCGAACAGGAUUAGAUACCCGAGUAGUC